RNAcentral lists this ribosomal RNA (333 nucleotides) under Triticum aestivum (bread wheat). RNAcentral's name for it is "partial small subunit ribosomal RNA". The record is from RNAcentral. Lineage: Eukaryota; Viridiplantae; Streptophyta; Magnoliopsida; Poales; Poaceae.
AUGUGCAUGUAUGAGAGAGAGAGAGAGAGAGAGAGAGAGAGAUGCGGGAUUGUAGUUGCACGUACUUAUUCCUUCCAAUCAGCGCCUUAUAUAUACAAAAGAAAAAGAAGAGAGAUCAGUACGACCCAUCGUUUCCAAUCAAAGUUGUUUCAUUUGUUUAUUCCUUCCAACUAUGAAUAUAAAGAAAAUAAAACGAAGAGGAAUCAGAGAUUGUUGUUUAAUGCUUGCGGGGAGUGCUUGCAUUAUAGAGGAUUGAGGAUUAGAAAGACUGACCGGACUUGGUGGGCGGAAGAGGCGGCUGGAGACAUAACAGAUCUGCCUUCUAAAAAAUGA